UACGGAGGAGGCAAGCGUUAUCCGGAAUUAUUGGGCGUAAAGCGUCCGUAGGUGGUUUAGUAAGUCUGCUGUUAAAGCGCGGGGCUUAACUCCGUAUCGGCAGUGGAAACUACUAGACUAGAGUGUGGUAGGGGUAGAGGGAAUUCCCAGUGUAGCGGUGAAAUGCGUAGAUAUUGGGAGGAACACCAGUGGCGAAGGCGGCUACCUGGACCGGUUCUGACGCUGAGGCGCGAAAGCGUGGGUAGCAAACAGG
Molecule: ribosomal RNA, 253 nt
Filed under: uncultured bacterium
Lineage: Bacteria
Description: partial 16S ribosomal RNA
Rfam family: Bacterial small subunit ribosomal RNA
Source: RNAcentral